GGGUCGUUAGCUCAGUUGGUAGUGCAGUUGGCGUUUAAGCUAUUGGUCGAAGGUUCGAAUCCUUCACGUCCCACCA
This 76-nucleotide transfer RNA is filed under the name Shewanella sp. SG41-4. RNAcentral's name for it is "tRNA-Lys". It matches the Rfam family "tRNA". Rfam says of the family: Transfer RNA (tRNA) molecules are approximately 80 nucleotides in length. Their secondary structure includes four short double-helical elements and three loops (D, anti-codon, and T loops). Further hydrogen bonds mediate the characteristic L-shaped molecular structure. tRNAs have two regions of fundamental functional importance: the anti-codon, which is responsible for specific mRNA codon recognition, and the 3' end, to which the tRNAs corresponding amino acid is attached (by aminoacyl-tRNA synthetases). tRNAs cope with the degeneracy of the genetic code in two manners: having more than one tRNA (with a specific anti-codon) for a particular amino acid; and 'wobble' base-pairing, i.e. permitting non-standard base-pairing at the 3rd anti-codon position. The record is from RNAcentral. Lineage: Bacteria; Pseudomonadati; Pseudomonadota; Gammaproteobacteria; Alteromonadales; Shewanellaceae.